ACACGCUCAGAGUAUGUGUAUCACACUCAUAUAUUGUGUUCCUCUUUUUCUUCUGCUUUAUUCUUAUCGAUUUUUUGUAUCUUCAUUGAUUUAAUUUAUAUGUAGAUAGUUCUUUUCUUAUGUGUUUAAUUGAUUUCUGUGUUUCAUAUAAUUUUUUCUUGAAAUCGCAAGUCAGCUUCUUGGUUAAAUCUUGUUAAUUCUACGGUUUAAAUCAAUUAUAUUUAUAUACUUGCGAAUAUCAAUUGGUUUUACAGGCUCACUCGUCUGAAUUGGAUUUUUUCAUGAUAUUUCAGACCCUUUAGUACUGUAACAUUUUUUUUUAUUUAAUCAAUUAUUUUUAAGCAAACUCACUCUGUCCCUUAACCGUGUUUAACACUAAUGUUUUGAGGCAAUUUCUUCGUUUGCAAAACUAAUUAUGUUGUUAGUUCAAUCAAAUUCACUCGCACUUUUUUACUGUGUCGAGAUUUACCGAACUGCUGCAUAUGCUAAACAUUUUUUUUAUUAUUUAUUCGUUUAUUUUUUUUUUGUUUAUACUAAUCCAGUGAGGAGGAUCUCCCAUUAAUUGAUAGGAAGUGCCGUAUGACACUCUAAACAGCAGUUCCGUUUAAAUGAUCUCAUCCACCGAUUAACAUAUUGUUGUUAUCGGCCGAGAUCGUUCUUUACGGAACUGUGUGUGAGAUUUGAAACGGGUCUCCUGAGGAUUUUUUUCACUUUUAGUUUUUUUAUUACUGUUUGUUGUGUUUACUGAUUAGGUCUGAUGCCACGUCUCUGAUAGCUAUAUGCUCUGAUCAAAGAUGCUAUGAUUGGACCAAAAUUAAUAGUGUUUUUCAUUUGUUUCGCAUUCUGAUAGGAAUCUGCUUAUCUUAUUUACUAUGAUUUUGCAGAGCCGAUUUGUGCGAUUACAUUUCAAAUUUUUAUUAUUAUUUUGUUGUUUUAGUGAAGCUGAUGAUGAUAAAACUUGAUCUGGAAUUACCGUCUGAAUAGAUUUAUUCUUUGAUGUAAAUUUCUUGGCUGUGGUACUGAGGCUUCAAAUUCUUCAUUAAUGUUUCCUAAUUGUAGUUCAGAAUUAGUUUGAUAUGUUUUUAGAGCAUUAUAAUUCUUUAAUUGUAAUUUUAGUAUGAAAUAAGAAUUUCCCUAGAAUUUUUUAGCUUAUGAGUUUUGUAUUUGUUUUGAAUACAUACUAUUUUUACCAAAAAGUGAGAGAACCAAUUGAUGCAUUGGUUCCUUGGUGGAGGAUUUUGAGUUAAGUCUCCAGUAAUCAAUACACAUUCGCCAUUUGGCGACUGUGGUGUGUAAUGAUUGAUUGCAACUCGCACUUUUACUGGAUGGAGAAUGUGUAUAGAUUACCGGAGACUUAACUCAACUACUAGAAGAGUUGGAUGUGAAUGGAUAUAAUAAUAACUUUCCCCAUUGUUACCUAGUUGCAGACCGACCUUGAUUAUUGGCCUCUUGGUUAAGUUGGUGAAUAAUGGAUAUUGACAUUCAUUUGAAAACAGGGUUGGUGGGCGGGAGGAAAUCUGAAUCAGUUCUCAAUUUCUUCACAACUCACGGUUUCACUCUGAUUCAGAUAUUCACAACAUCAUCAAAAGAGAUCCCUGGCUUCCUUCCUGUGAUACCCAAAAAGACAUACUUCUCCCAAAGUUUCAAUUUUUACUCUCCAAAGGUGCUUUUAAUUCCGACAUUGUUUGUAUGGUUGUAGAUAUCCCUAGAUUCAUGAAAUUUAGUUUGAAUAAUUGUGUAGGAAAUGAUGCAUUAAUCAGAAUUUCUAUUAUUCAGUUAUGUUGGAACUCAUUGGCUUAGUUGCGAAGCUUGUGAGAUUGUCUUCCCUAAAAAGUGUUUAAUGAAACUCAAUGCAGGUCUUUCUUGUUA
Molecule: long non-coding RNA, 1869 nt
Organism: Trifolium pratense (red clover)
Lineage: Eukaryota; Viridiplantae; Streptophyta; Magnoliopsida; Fabales; Fabaceae
Exons: 2
Source: RefSeq, a predicted model, not a curated record